This is a long non-coding RNA of Heterocephalus glaber (naked mole-rat), 3220 nucleotides long. The record is from Ensembl. NCBI's taxonomy places the organism in Eukaryota, Metazoa, Chordata, Mammalia, Rodentia, Bathyergidae.
CCUGGACCAAAGAGAAAGACCGUUUCAAACAAACAAAAUCAGUAAUUUUAAAUGUCACACAGUUGGACAAUACAUUAUUAGUGUACCACUAGAUGGCUAUAGAUAACAUCUCUGCUCUGUGGGUCAUGAUGAUUGCCCAGAUUACUUUUCAGAGAUUUGAAGGUCACUUUGUUGAAAACACUAACGUUUCAUUAGGGCCUGAAGACAAUGUUGAGACAGGAGAUUAGGAUAAGGGCAGCUGGCUGAGCAAGUAGGUAUGCUUGUCAAUCACAGAGAUGCAGGACACAUUCGAAGAAAACAGUUCGAAAACUGUGGAGAGCAGUGUGUGGAGAGCGGUGUUAGCCAAAGAGGCUCCAUUUUGAAUCUUACCCUCCAUUGUAUAGAGCAAGGAGACUAUGUUAUGAGGAACCGCGUCCUUGCCGAAUUAGAUUGCCCUGGAACGUGAUGAACGUUCUGUAACACCGAGAAACAAGGAAGCCCAUGAGGGUGGAGAAUUCCCAAAGAACUAGAAAACAAGGAAGCAGGUGUCUCUGGAUAAGGGUCAUGAUUAACAACCAAACUCACCUGCUGUAUAAAAGAGAGGAGAAAAAUAAACUUGGGCGCUCGGUCUCUGGGAGCCCUCCCGACUCUCUUUGUCUUUCUUUUUCUUCAUCCUCACUCCCCCAUUCAGGUGCUGUUCGACAAGUGACGGCGGGCUCUGUCACGGGUGGCGCCCGAACAGGGACCUGAAUACGGGGGACCAUAGUGAAGGACACUGCGCAUUGUGAGCUCGGAUAAAUAAAUUAAGGGCAGUGAAUGCACUCAGGAGUAGCAAGAUGGGUAUUGGUAACAGCCGGCUGCUUUUUGUACAUAUGCUUAAAAAAAUACUUCAGUCUCGUGGAGCAAAGGACGCUGAAGGUGCCAGGUGGCUGCCUGAAAGAUGGGUCCGUUUUGCAGGAAAUUCUCCUGCCCCUUAGGAUGAUCCCGACAACUGUCCUGCUGAUAAAUCUAAUGAUGACGCUUAAUGAGAAGGUUUAUUGGACUUAUGUAUCUGAUCCACCUGUUGUACAGCCAACAAGCUGAAAAAAUGGACAAGUAAUGGUAUGGGUGAACAAUACCAGGCUGUUGCAUGAGCCGGCGGCCCCUGACAAGAACAAGUUCCGAUUGUUCAACUAUACGGGAUCAGAAAUCGGAACCCCCCAUAUGUUUCUUCAAAAUCAACAGACUGAGUGCUCGCACCCUGACAGGAAGGCAGGUAGAUCAGUGCAAAGGCGGGAUCACUGGAGUCCAUCUACAUCUACCUGUGGGUAUGGAGACCACUGGUGUAGUGCCUCAGACUUUUAAUGCUCCAAUAAGACUAUUCCAUGGAAGAGAUGUGUGGCGGAUGCCUCCGUGAGAUAUAAUAUUACUGGACUUGAUACUUAUGUUUUGGACUGGUCUGAAAAUUCUUGUUAUCCCAAAAGAAAUGUCAUUGCAUGUGUCAUGUGCUCUUAUGUAUUGCUUGUAAGAAAUAUUAGUGUUCAGAAAGGUUAUGAUUAUUAUAGUGUAAUUUGCUUUGUCAAAUAAGUAGUGUCACCCGAACAGAAAAUCAGAUAAUGGUUUUGCGAAUGUGUUCUUAGAUUUGGAUAUUAUAGAUCCCCAAAAUGCAGAACCCCUGGAAUUUGAUGCAGCCCAGGCUGCACAGGAUUUUAUCGAACAAAUUAGAAAAGUUCUGCCAUCUACAUCUGCAUUUAUGCGGUAACUCAUUUCCAUAGUAAUUAUUGGAGGAGGGCUGCCUCUCAGAUGCAUGAUCCUUCCGGCGCUACUGCAGAUGUUUGUGCAUUCUUUAAUGAGGAUGGCUGGAAGUAUUCAUGGUCUAUAAUUACAUGCUACACCGUCUAAACCCAUGGUAUAAUUCCCUGCAGAGGCUGGUAGUCAAUGACGGGUAAGAGGAGUAUAGGAAAUCACCAACCUAAGACAAAGCAAGAGUACUGUGAUGCUCUUGACUCCAUGACAGGUAAGGGAUUUCUUUAUAUUCCUCGCCUAAGACAGGCACAGUCUAUCUGCGUGAUCAAGGGACCUUGAUCAUAAUAUAUAAAACAGGGGGAGAUGUGGAGAGCGGUGUGUGGAGAGCAGUGUUAGCCAAAGAGGCUCCAUUUUGAAUCUUACCCUCCAUUGUAUAGAGCAAGGAGACUAUGUUAUGAGGAACCGCGUCCUUGCCGAAUUAGAUUGCCCUGGAACGUGAUGAAUGUUCUGUAACACCGAGAAACAAGGAAGCCCAUGAGGGUAGGGAAUUCCCAAAGAACUAGAAAACAAGGAAGCAGGUGUCUCUGGAUAAGGGUCAUGAUUAACAACCAAACUCACCUGCUGUAUAAAAGAGAGGAGAAAAAUAAACUUGGGCGCUCGGUCUCUGGGAGCCCUCCCGACUCUCUUUGUCUUUAUUUUUCUUCAUCCUCACCCCCCGAUUCAGGUACUGUUCGACAAGUGAUGGCAGGCUCCAUCAGAAAACCCUGCACCUGGGACCAAUGAGAAAGUGCUGUCUUCAAUUCUUCUGGCAUGAAAUCAAGGAGUUUUGUUGUUUUUUUUUUUUUGGUACCAGAGAUAGAACUUGAGACCUUGCACUUGCAAGGCAGGCAGCAUAACCACUGAGCUAAAUCCCUGGCCCUCAAGCAGAUUUUGGAUAGGAUAGCCUAGAUCUGGCAUCAGCUUAAACAAUUAGGGGAUAUGAAAGACAUCUUCCAUUAACCUACAGCCACUGUGAGCUUUCUCAGUGGUCCUCUCUUGCUCUACAGAGCACACUUCUUUUCCUACCUUUAAUAAAUGUAAAAUCCCUGGGCUAGGCAUGUAGCUCUGUAGUAAAGCACUUGCCUAGUAUGCAUGAGGCCCUGUGUUCAUUCCCCAGCCCUGCAAAUACAUCAAUAAAUGUAAAACCUUGCCACCUUUUACUCAGAUCUUGUCAAAGUAUUUGCUCAGGGCACCAUGAAUCUGAAAAGAAUCCCUGGUGUCUACAGAACCCCAGAAUCCAGUAACAAACUGAUAGGCAACUGGAAGAGAAUCUAAAGGCUUCAUAUCUGUCUUCAUAUUGUAUCCAUCUCCUUUGCUAUCCUAACCUUUGGGUCAGAUUCUACUCAGCUCUACAUGUAGACUUGUUGAUCAACUGAGAAAUGUUCUGUCCAGAACUAUAACACCUAGAUUUGCCUCAUCUCUCUUCCCUGCUUCAGGGCUAAAGACAGCUACCAGAUGCUAAGACCAGAAACACCAG